RNAcentral lists this ribosomal RNA (254 nucleotides) under uncultured bacterium. RNAcentral's name for it is "partial 16S ribosomal RNA". It matches the Rfam family "Bacterial small subunit ribosomal RNA", at positions 524 to 776 of the family's 1533-position model. The record is from RNAcentral.
CACGUAGGCACCAAGCGUUGUCCGGAUUUAUUGGGCGUAAAGAGCUCGUAGGCGGUUCGGUAAGUCGGGUGUGAAAACUCUGGGCUCAACCCAGAGCCGCCACCCGAUACUGCUGUGACUUGAGUUCGGUAGGGGAGCGGGGAAUUCCUGGUGUAGCGGUGAAAUGCGCAGAUAUCAGGAAGAACACCCGUGGCGAAGGCGGCUCUCUGGGACGGUACUGACGCUGAGACGCGAAAGCGUGGGGAGCGAACAGG